Molecule: regulatory RNA element, 81 nt
Organism: Legionella spiritensis
Lineage: Bacteria; Pseudomonadati; Pseudomonadota; Gammaproteobacteria; Legionellales; Legionellaceae
Rfam family: RAGATH-32 RNA
About the family: Legionellales (_-Proteobacteria). Nearby to self-cleaving ribozyme genes
Source: Rfam
GUGGCUGGACGUAUAGUCGGGAAACCCUUCAUGGAUCUUUUACCGUCUGGUAGAACAAGUGCUCUUAAGCAUUUGCAGUCA